GGAAGUUGUGUGUUUUACAUGGCGUAUUGAUACCAGCCAUUCGAGGAAAAGAAAAAUCCGAAGCUAUCUUGAUUAGCAGCGGAAACUGCCGCGGUUACAGAAGCAAGUCUUCAUAAAAGUUGUCAAAAAGUGUUCAGAUGUUAUCGGCUAACAUUUCAAUAGUGAGCUGAAUGUUAGACCGAGCUGCCGAAACCAGCAGAGGUGGCGGCUAAGUUAAUAGUGUUCCACGUGUCUUGGUCAGGUCUUUUAGUGAGCUUUGAGCUCCACGAGAAAAGACCAGUGAUUCCAAUUGAUGGCGAGCCUCCCAGUGUGAUUUCCAGGAUCCAGAUCUGCACAACCAGUCAGACGGCCAAAGGUUUAUCUGGUUUCUGGUAGGAUUCCAUCAGUCACCCCGACUGGCAACGGUGAACAGAUAAAAAGAGUGCACUCUAGACUAUAAAAACACUAAGUGUGAAACUUCACUGGACCCCCUUUUUGCUGACUGACAGAUCAUUACAGAUCAGUCCCUCAUUCGAUCUGUGUUUUGACUUGACUGACCCUCUACUCUAUAAACUCUGAGGAACAAACUGAACUAUAAGGUUGCAACUAGAGAUGGCACGAUACCACUUUUUUAUGUCCGAUACCGAUAUCAUAAAUUUGGAUAUCUGCCGAUACCGAUAUGAAUCCGAUAUUGUGUUUUUUAAUCAAUAAAACUGUUUUUUUUUUAAUUUCUUGCUGCAUUUUGUAUAAGUUCAUACUCAAGUUUAAAUAAACAACAACACUAAAGCUAUUCUGUUAUACCUGUGUGUAAAAAAUACGCUGCACCCAAAAUAUUUCAUAGUUCAGCAACACUGAUCAAUCUAAUAAACCUUACCUAACUUAAAACCUAACUUAAACCUGCUCCAUCCUCCCUAUUCUGGUAUUUUAAAGAGUACUUAGCAGAAAUAUUAAGCAACCCAACUAAUAGGGUUGUAAACUCCCACAAAAAAAAAAAAAAAAUAGAGAACCACCCACCCUCCACCUCAUGAUGCUUAAUCGAUGUAAUCAACUUUAAUUUGAUGCAGGGUGAAAAAAAAAAUGC
Oreochromis aureus is the source of this 1060-nucleotide long non-coding RNA. Lineage: Eukaryota; Metazoa; Chordata; Actinopteri; Cichliformes; Cichlidae. The record is from Ensembl.